Molecule: ribosomal RNA, 443 nt
Filed under: uncultured bacterium
Lineage: Bacteria
Description: partial 16S ribosomal RNA
Rfam family: Bacterial small subunit ribosomal RNA
Source: RNAcentral
CCUACGGGUGGCAGCAGUGGGGAAUAUUGGGCAAUGGGCGCAAGCCUGACCCAGCAACGCCGCGUGAAGGAAGAAGGCUUUCGGGUUGUAAACUUCUUUUCUCAGGGACGAAGCAAGUGACGGUACCUGAGGAAUAAGCCACGGCUAACUACGUGCCAGCAGCCGCGGUAAUACGUAGGUGGCAAGCGUUAUCCGGAUUUACUGGGUGUAAAGGGCGUGUAGGCGGGAAAGCAAGUCAGAUGUGAAAACCAUGGGCUCAACCUGUGGACUGCAUUUGAAACUGUUUUUCUUGAGUACUGGAGAGGCAGACGGAAUUCCUAGUGUAGCGGUGAAAUGCGUAGAGAUUAGGAGGAACACCAGUGGCGAAGGCGGUCUGCUGGACAGCAACUGACGCUGAGGCGCGAAAGCGUGGGGAGCAAACAGGAUUAGAUACCCGUGUAGUC